RNAcentral lists this transfer RNA (101 nucleotides) under Haloferula luteola. RNAcentral's name for it is "tRNA-Leu". The record is from RNAcentral. Lineage: Bacteria; Pseudomonadati; Verrucomicrobiota; Verrucomicrobiia; Verrucomicrobiales; Verrucomicrobiaceae.
GGCGAAUUGUAAGUGACUAAGAUCGAGUGUGGUUUGUAUUUCGCUACAGACUUAAAAUCCGUUGCCGGGCAACCGGCGUGGGGGUUCGAGUCCCCCCGGUG